AAAAGUGUGGCCUCAGAAAAGUUAAGUUUUACUCCACGCAGUAACCACAGUUGUCUUCUUGUAGAUUCGCAAUGAGGAUUUAUGUUGGGCAGUACACCUCAGGAAGGAAAAAAAUGAAAGACAAAAGAACCAUGAAAGUGACACAAAAGAGUGAAUAAUUAGGAACAAUUCAACUGAUGCAGGCAGCCCAGGGCAGUUAAUAUGGUCGGAUUAACCUUCUUCCGCGAAACAUUGAUAUCUUGGCAUGGUUUCCAUCACAUUGGUCAGCGCAUGUUCGAGAUUGAAAAUAUUUAUAUAAGGAAACAUCAAGGCACAUUCUGUAAGAAGAAGUUUUAACAAUUUAUAAUGUUGUAUAUUUGUAAUAUUGGCGGA
This is a non-coding RNA of Paramuricea clavata, 372 nucleotides long. NCBI's taxonomy places the organism in Eukaryota, Metazoa, Cnidaria, Anthozoa, Malacalcyonacea, Plexauridae. The record is from the annotation of a GenBank genome assembly.